This 253-nucleotide ribosomal RNA is filed under the name uncultured bacterium. RNAcentral describes it as "partial 16S ribosomal RNA". It matches the Rfam family "Bacterial small subunit ribosomal RNA", at positions 524 to 776 of the family's 1533-position model. The record is from RNAcentral.
UACGUAGGGUGCGAGCGUUAAUCGGAAUUACUGGGCGUAAAGCGUGCGCAGGCGGUUCGCCAAGUCAGGUGUGAAAUCCCCGGGCUUAACCUGGGAAUUGCGCUUGAAACUAGCGGGCUUGAGUGUGGCAGAGGGGGGUGGAAUUCCACGUGUAGCAGUGAAAUGCGUGGAGAUGUGGAGGAACACCGAUGGCGAAGGCAGCCUCCUGGGCCAACACUGACGCUCAUGCACGAAAGCGUGGGGAGCAAACAGG